Numida meleagris (helmeted guineafowl) is the source of this 75-nucleotide small nucleolar RNA. Ensembl annotates it as small nucleolar RNA, C/D box 101. NCBI's taxonomy places the organism in Eukaryota, Metazoa, Chordata, Aves, Galliformes, Numididae. The record is from Ensembl.
GUUUGAGUGAUGACUUCACAAAUUGUCGGAUACCCCUUCACUCCUUUUAUGAGUGAGAACAGUGGUCUGACAAAC